GGGGCUUUAACGGUUUCGACGUGGUGGCGAAAGCUGCUCUAUGAUUCAGGUCGAGAGCGAGUCAUCUCUCGUGAAUAAAAGACUCAAACAAUUGUAAAUGCGAACAACAUCGUAGCAUUUAAGCGUGUGGCAGUAGCUGCCUAACAAACCUCUUUAAGGUACGCUUGUCUGUAGCUUGACUCCGUUAAGGGCUACAGACCAACCCCAACGGAUGCUCUAGCAAGUAUUCUCUGGUUUGCUCGCUGGCUAAGAUUUAACCAGAGCAUCCUACCGUUCGGGAUAAAGAACGUUCCCCGCCUUGAGGGUGAGAUAGGCUAAACCUGUGAAUGAGUGGGGGGUUAAUACCCAUUGCGGACAUGGGUUCAAUUCCCAUAAGCUCCACUU
This 384-nucleotide transfer-messenger RNA is filed under the name Aetokthonos hydrillicola. Its description in RNAcentral is "Standard tmRNA". It matches the Rfam family "transfer-messenger RNA". From Rfam's summary of the family: Bacterial tmRNA, also known as 10Sa RNA or SsrA, is named for its dual tRNA and mRNA-like properties. Its role is to liberate the mRNA from a stalled ribosome. The record is from RNAcentral. Lineage: Bacteria; Bacillati; Cyanobacteriota; Cyanophyceae; Nostocales; Hapalosiphonaceae. RNAcentral also lists the same sequence under 2 other names.